CUACAAAAAAGAUGUCCAAGAAGAAGAAGGGAGGAGGAAGUGGUAGUGGUGGUGCUAGUGGUCCAGUCACUAAAACUACAUCUGCUGGAAAAGACUUGUCUCAAGGAAAGUUAUGGAAACUGUUAGUGGAAGAUGUACUUCAGCAUUUCCUGUACACAUUGGAAUAUAAUUCUGUAACUCACAUGUGUACUACUUGUGGUGUUAGCAAAGUCUCUCUUCUCAGGGAAUUCUGUAACAAAACAGGAGUACAGAUUACAUUGAAGGAUUAAAAAUUUUCCUUGACUGCUCCAUUCAAUGAAGGUGAUCUUGCCUGUAUUGUACCUGUUGUUAAGCACACUGAUUUUAAACCUCUUGAAGCCUCUGGCUUGUAUGAGUUGGCUCAGGUUCAGUUGCAGUCUGGUAAUAUUGAAGUUGCUCUUGACUAUCUAUCUGAAGCUGUGCAAUUGUUUGCUCAAGUCUUUGGGCCACUACAUGUCAACAUAGCAAACUGCUAUAAAGUUAUUGCACUAAUUCAUCAUGCUCUAGGAGACAGUAAACUAGUAAGUGGUGC
This 550-nucleotide long non-coding RNA is filed under the name Amphimedon queenslandica. RNAcentral's name for it is "uncharacterized LOC109593077, transcript variant X1". Lineage: Eukaryota; Metazoa; Porifera; Demospongiae; Haplosclerida; Niphatidae. The record is from RNAcentral.